AUAAACAAGAAACAUUUUCUUUUUUCAUGUUAAUAUGAAUUUUAAUAUGUGCCAAAUACGUAAGACAUUAAGUGGUAUGCAAAUGAAAAUUGGAACUUCCUGAUAAUUAAGAUCUCCAGCAUAUCCACACCCAGGCAACACAUGUAACAGACAUUUUAUACACCAUCAUCCUAAGUGCUGAAAGUACAAAGACAAGAAAACAAAUGUCUCUUCAUUUGGAAUGCUUUGAGUGCCCUGGGAAAGACAGGAUGCCAGACCAUGUGCUCACAGGUGCUAAGUGUUCUGCUGGAAGUUUAGGCUUUUUCUAUCAAUGUCAGGAAGACACUGUUGGGAAAUGUAGUGAGAGUGGCAUUCUCGGGAUGAUGUGAUUUUCCGGAAGUGACAGUUUGUGAGUUGCUGGUCAGUAACCUGAAACACAUCUAUUUGUCUUCUUUCUGGGAACUGCUUUCCUCUGAUAAGAACCAGUGGUGUGUUCUGUUUUCAGUUUCACUUUCGUACAAUGUCUAAGGAGAGAAAUAGAGUGAUAAGGGAAAUUCCCAGCUACAAAAAGGAUGGUGCUGGACAACGAUUUAUUAUUGCAAAAAUUUCCUGGGAAUUUCCAUUUUCCUUUGGGAUUUUAUUUGGCAGGUUUCCCAGGAUGUGCAAGGACCAAUAUCUAGUUGGUUAGUCUAAAUCUUGGAAUUUCAGUGCCCGAAUUUAGCAGAAUAUUUUGUUCUUUAAUUUUUUUUUCAGAGCUCAAAAAAUCAUGUUCCUUUCCAUUCAUUCCAAAGUUGUAAGCAAAACAUGCUGAGCUGUAUUAAUUGUUAAGGCAGCAUAGUUAUUUUUAUUUUAGGAAGCUGCUAUGUGAAAGAGGAUGUGAGCUCAGUACCCUUUAAAGAUUCUGUCUGGGGUAGAGACAUGGCUGUGGAGAAAAGGCAAAAGCAUCUUCAUUGUUGCAGCCUCUGGAGUUUAAGUUUUAACAGGGCUGGCUAGCACAGCUUUGUAGAGUUGGAAACUAUGACUAAUGAGAGAUCAAUCACCAGCAGUUAGACGGGUAGAUUUCUAGGGAGAACUUGAAGGGUAGCUGGAAAAUAAUGUGUAUCCUCUUAGGGAAGUCUUGGAUCAUGACUCCAGAGGGCAUUAUUUACCCCAAGAACAUAUCAUUUGCAUGAAAUAUGUGUGGAGUCUCUGGAUUUGAGUAAGUGAAGGCCCUCUGCCCUACCUACUGGAAUUGUUCUGAGGUUCAAGUUACACAAUUAUAAAAGGACUGUAAACUAAACCCAAUGGUAUAUGUCAUAACAAUGAUAGUUACUGUUUUCUCACCAGCCCUGCCAUUUGAUUAACACCAUUCUUACCUAGUUUGAGAAGCAGAAAAACCUCUUCUAGCAGGGAGCUUUCCAAGUAUUCACCUUGAAUGUGUGGAGUUCUCUUGUGAGAAGAACUUUACAGUAAGACUCUAUUGCUGAAGACAUCUCACACUUGAGUCAUAGAAUAUGGAGAACUCAAGACUGUACUCACCUGGAAGCUUCAUCUCUAUGACAGCUUUCUGAGUGAUGGAAGACACUGUUAAUGCUACCAGAGGAAAAAAAGAGCAGGUUAGUGCACUUUCUGCGGUUGGCUCCCAUGCUGUCUGCUCCAGCAUGUACUGCAACCUCUGUGACCAUGCAGAGAUGGGGACUAAAAGUGCUGCUGUAGAGACUCUCUCAUGACACAGAGCAUCUCCUGCCACUGAAGAGGUACCACUGGAUGUCACUGUUGCACCAUGCAGGUGGGAGCAAAUGUCAGACCCACUGAAGAGGACUGAAGAAGGCAGCUUCCAGCGAGGAGCAGUGCAUCUGUGCAAAAAGAUUAUAAUCCCCAGUGAAGUGGGACUUACCCAAUCAAGUGUUCCAUGUGUCAGGCUCUGAUGGCCUGCUCCCCUGAAGUCCUCUGUUACAGCAGAGCACUGUGCUGGCCUUCAUAGUCCACUUCUGGAGAUUAUGUUUUGGUUGCCCAGGCAAUGAUCAGGUAGGAGGACUGUUUUUCUGACUGGAUGUCCUGUGUUCAGGUUAUGGCCAUACUUCUGCUAAGCACUUACAGUUUUGUGCAUACUCU
This is a non-coding RNA of Cricetulus griseus (Chinese hamster), 2073 nucleotides long. The record is from RefSeq and is a predicted model, not a curated record. Lineage: Eukaryota; Metazoa; Chordata; Mammalia; Rodentia; Cricetidae.